CUCUAUCUUCUUACUAAAACCCCAAUUACUAUGCGACUUAGUUUGUAGGGUUGCAACUUUCAAAUUUGGCUACCUACCCUCAGAGAAAAAUAUGGAAAAGGAGAAACGACUUUCAAGCUGGAAAGUUUGGCAAAUUGUUGGCAUACGAGUGUAGUAGAUUGAAUAACAUGGGGAGAUCAUGAGCUGAUAUUGUUCUGCUGAGGCCCAUAUUAUGAGCGAUCAGUAGAUGAGCCUGACGGGCCUGUUUAUAUAAAAGUCUAUAAGUGAGAAGGAGCAACUCUAUUUUGGUACCCAAAUAUCAAGACCAAAGCGUGACAGUCCAUCUUCCUAAGGUCCUUCUUCUUCGUCCAGAUCCUUGUAUUGGCCCUCGCUGCUGCAUCCGUCUCUGCUCAGGAGGGUUUUCCGGCACUAUAUAUAUGAAGAGUUCUCACUAUCACUGUUCGGCUUUUGCGGGAGUCCUUUGGAGACUUCUUCUCGUGUUGGGUAAUGAAGUAGAGGUCUUCUCUUUCUUAAUUGGUCUUUCACUUAUGAUUCUUUGAAAGCUUCCCAUAUCUGCCAUGGGUUCUUAUUCUCCAUAGAGAUCGCAGAAAGGAACAAGUCCUUGGUGAAAGCCUUCUCCAUCGAGUUUGGGACGAAGAUAAUGAACAAGUAGUUAUUCUGAGUCAGCCAUUAGGCCUAAACCUGGAGCUCAGAGGAGGAUCAUCGUGAACUGCCAUGGAUUUUUUUGUACGUAAGGAUACGAUGCGUGUGUGCUUUGUUUCUUGUCUUCUUGAAUAGUUUCUAAUUUCUGCUCUGAAGAUUGAUAGUGACAACUCUUCAUAUAUAUAGCACCGUGGUAUCUGCAUAUGUGAGAUUCCAAUGGGUCUCAUUUGUCAUUUCAUUACUACAAUAUUGGUCUGGGCGGAAUGCUGUGCAUGUGGCUUUUCUUUAAGGGAUUGGUUUUGUUGGAUCUUUGGUUCACUAGAUUGUAAUAAAGCUACAUAUGCUGACUAUUAUUUCCCAGGAGUAACUUGGCUCUCAGAAAGGGAAAAAAAAAAAGAAAAAAAGCAUGCACGAUCUGUUUGGGAGCUUGGUCUUGGGGUUGAUUAGAGGAAUCACACGCAUUGCUCAUUAAUGUAUGUCUUUUCUUGCUCUUUAGCAAUUUCUUGGCUAUGGAAUAAGCAAAAUAAGGUGUACAAACAGAGUAGUUUUGGUGGGUAGGAACUCAUGCACAUUAGGUGUUUGAUGAAAGUCCUCAAUGAGGUUGUUGUUAUACAAAACCCUUUUGUUUUUGCAUGUUGAUUACUACUACUAAUAGCUAUGGGUUUGACUAA
Molecule: long non-coding RNA, 1313 nt
Organism: Rosa rugosa (rugosa rose)
Lineage: Eukaryota; Viridiplantae; Streptophyta; Magnoliopsida; Rosales; Rosaceae
Exons: 2
Source: RefSeq, a predicted model, not a curated record